GACGAACGCUGGCGGCGUGCUUAACACAUGCAAGUCGAACGGAAAGGCCCUGCUUUUGUGGGGUGCUCGAGUGGCGAACGGGUGAGUAACACGUGAGUAACCUGCCCUUGACUUUGGGAUAACUUCAGGAAACUGGGGCUAAUACCGGAUAGGAGCUCCUGCUGCAUGGUGGGGGUUGGAAAGUUUCGGCGGUUGGGGAUGGACUCGCGGCUUAUCAGCUUGUUGGUGGGGUAGUGGCUUACCAAGGCUUUGACGGGUAGCCGGCCUGAGAGGGUGACCGGCCACAUUGGGACUGAGAUACGGCCCAGACUCCUACGGGAGGCAGCAGUGGGGUAUAUUGCACAAUGGGCGGAAGCCUGAUGCAGCAACGCCGCGUGCGGGAUGACGGCCUUCGGGUUGUAUUCCGCUUUCGCCUGUGACGAAGCGUGAGUGACGGUAAUGGGUAAAGAAGCACCGGCUAACUACGUG
This 468-nucleotide ribosomal RNA is filed under the name uncultured bacterium. RNAcentral's name for it is "partial 16S ribosomal RNA". It matches the Rfam family "Bacterial small subunit ribosomal RNA", at positions 28 to 507 of the family's 1533-position model. The record is from RNAcentral.